RNAcentral lists this ribosomal RNA (542 nucleotides) under Trichoderma virens. Its description in RNAcentral is "eukaryotic LSU rRNA". The stretch from base 159 to 312 matches the Rfam family "5.8S ribosomal RNA". Lineage: Eukaryota; Fungi; Ascomycota; Sordariomycetes; Hypocreales; Hypocreaceae. The record is from RNAcentral.
UGUUGCCUCGGCGGGAUCUCUGCCCCGGGUGCGUCGCAGCCCCGGACCAAGGCGCCCGCCGGAGGACCAACCAAAACUCUUAUUGUAUACCCCCUCGCGGGUUUUUUACUAUCUGAGCCAUCUCGGCGCCCCUCGUGGGCGUUUCGAAAAUGAAUCAAAACUUUCAACAACGGAUCUCUUGGUUCUGGCAUCGAUGAAGAACGCAGCGAAAUGCGAUAAGUAAUGUGAAUUGCAGAAUUCAGUGAAUCAUCGAAUCUUUGAACGCACAUUGCGCCCGCCAGUAUUCUGGCGGGCAUGCCUGUCCGAGCGUCAUUUCAACCCUCGAACCCCUCCGGGGGGUCGGCGUUGGGGAUCGGCCCUUUACGGGGCCGGCCCCGAAAUACAGUGGCGGUCUCGCCGCAGCCUCUCCUGCGCAGUAGUUUGCACACUCGCAUCGGGAGCGCGGCGCGUCCACAGCCGUUAAACACCCCAAACUUCUGAAAUGUUGACCUCGGAUCAGGUAGGAAUACCCGCUGAACUUAAGCAUAUCAAUAAGCGGAGGA